GUGCUCACCUUAGCAUCACAUAUGUGAAAAAUGGAAUGAUACGGAGAGGAUUAGCAUAGGCCCUGCACAAGGAUGACACGCAAAUUCGCAAAGUGUCCCAUAUUUUU
Small nuclear RNA from Saimiri boliviensis boliviensis (Bolivian squirrel monkey), 107 nucleotides. Lineage: Eukaryota; Metazoa; Chordata; Mammalia; Primates; Cebidae. The record is from Ensembl.